Long non-coding RNA from Lycium barbarum (goji berry), 3555 nucleotides. RefSeq lists it as uncharacterized. Lineage: Eukaryota; Viridiplantae; Streptophyta; Magnoliopsida; Solanales; Solanaceae. The transcript is spliced from 2 exons. The record is from RefSeq and is a predicted model, not a curated record.
UCUAACAAAAUGUGAGCCAAACCCCUCUCUCUUCAACCAAACCAGAAAACCAAACGACCCCCUCUUCUUCAAAUCACCAUCACCGCCAGUUCCACCGAAGGACCAGCGAACAAAAGCCGAUGUCGACGUCGCUGACACUACCUCACAUCAACCUCAGUCCCUUUUCCCCUUUUUCUUCAGGCAAUAGAGCUUCGAACAGCUCGUCCAAGUCGAAUCAGCCCCCAAAUCGAAAAGCACGCAAACAUCUUUGGGAUUCUAGGCCGCUCUUCCAACAAUCCAUAGGGUAAAAACUCGUUCAUCCAUCAGACCCAAAAACCAUGGAGAAGAAGUCUCCAAAUUUGGAGUCCUAAUGAACCUCUAGAUUUCAAAUCAUCUCUGAAAAAGUUCUCGGCUGAGCAAGGACUGCUUUAAGAGGAUUCGGAGACUCGACGACGACAUUAGCCUCAGUUCGCUGUCCCGGAGAAGGUCAGUAAUCACAUUCGUCUUCUCUUCGUCUUUAAUUCUGUAUAAGUCGAAAUAUAGUCGUGUUGUUGUUCUUAGCAUUCUUUGGAGUUCGAUGGUUCGAAUCUGCCUACACUUCAGUGUGUAUAAACAAGCAUGAAAUAGUUGUGGCAAUCUAUUAACGUUUAAAGAAAAUGAUCGUUUAGCUUGGUGAAUACACGAAUAGUAGUGUCGCUUGUCUAAAAAUCUGUUUGAGGGAUCCCUUAGGGGACUAUUUUAUCAUGUAAAAUCAAGUAUGUAAAAUGGCUAAAAUAAAUCAUAACCUCAAAACAAAUGUCCCGAUUUGUUGGUAGUUAAUACUAGUCUAUACAUAUAGGUUCGAAUAAUCAUUUUGUUUCUGUUAGUUUGAAUCGGUCUACAUCCCGUAAUCUUUUUUUUUUACCAUUAAGGCUGCAGCUAUAGAUGGCUUGAAUCAUGUUUUAUCCUUCGUUCAUGUCUUCAAAACCAGUUCUAGUAUGGAUCAUGGAUCAAUAUUAAGAUGUUUGCGUCAAAUAGCUGUUUUCUACUUUCAUUUGGAUAUGAGCAUGAAACAUUAUUUGUUUGAGGGCAUUGAAAGGUUAGCGUUGUCCCUGUUUUAGUUAGCUUAAAUAAAAUGGUUGAUAACAUAGCUACUGCUAAUAAGAUUUCCUAAAGCCCUACUAUAAAAUCCAUUUAGACCUUAUGACUGAAAAAUAUCAUGCCUUGGCUGAAGAUUGAGUUAAGUAGAGGUUAAGCUAACAAUUGAUUUAUUGGCUUUCUAUUUUGUUUAAACCUUGUUAAGUUAGUAGUUUUUUUGUUUUCUGUGUGAACGUGAAUAGGCGUAGGCUCAAAUCUGAAUCUUUCAUUCAAAUCUUAGUCCAUGUUCAUUUAGUUUAGAAUUAUUGGUGGUUUAGUUAGCCAAAUCCUUAAAAUAGUUUACUUCCUACCUUGAAAAAUGUUUUCAUCUUUUAUUUUCAAUCUCUUUUUCCUUUAAGAAAACAGGAGAAUGAAUUUGUGUGGGCUAAGUUGUUUUCCUUGGGAUUUUUUAUCAAAAUUAGGUGUUGCGUUCCUUGUUUAAAGUUUUAAUCUUUUUCUUUAGAAAACACAGGUUGUGCUUUAACUAAUAAGUGGAAACUUAGUUUUAACAGUUGGUAUGAACUUAGAGGGGUGGCUCUGAGAUUAGUGUUUUACUUCUAUUUUGAGGAUUGAAACCCUGUUUGUUUCCUCUUUAACUAAUAGGAAAAUUAUAAUUUAAACAAGUAAAGUCUCUUCUUUUCCUUGGAUCAACUGCUUUGUCCUCCCCCCCCCCCCCCCCCCCCCCCUUUUUUUUUUUACUGACUGCUUCUCUUCACUAGGAUUCUGCACUUAAAAGCCUGGUUAUAUAAUUCAUAAAAUUGCCAAUUGAUAAUGCUUGGAAUUGGUGCAGGAUAUGAACCAUUUACAUGUAUAAGUCCAGACCGUGUUGUGUCCCAAUAUAACUCUCGUGUUUGUCGUGUUCUGUUUCUAAGAUAUGAAUUCAUUUAUCACCUUAGCUAAAACUAGAGUGUAAUGACUUCAAGGAUAGAGUCACGAACUUGAAUGCGAAAAUUCAUUAAGCUACUUAGUGUUAACAAACUCGAUGGAUUGGUCUUAUUUAAAGUUGUUCAAUCCCGUUUAUAUCUAUUAUUUUCCUGAUACUUGAUUUAAUGAACCCUUAUUAGUGUUUACUGCAAAAGGCGAAUCAUGUUUCUAAUAUAGUCAUAUUGAUGGAUUUAAAUGUAGUGUACUAUGCGAUUGUUCUGAUUUUUUAUAAUCGACGAUCUAGAUCUGUUUGCUGGCUUGAUAACCAUUAAUAAACAUAUGUGAAGUACUAUUUCACCAGUAGACUAAUGAGAAGUUAAAAUAGUUGAAGAAUAUCCGGUCGGAAGUAGUAGUUGUUCGAUCUUGCUGUUCAAAUAUACUUAUGUUCAUAAUUUGAUGUUGUUUGUGUUCACAAGCAUCACAACUUGGAUAAGAAUGAGAUCGUGUUGUUCUUUACUAUUACUAAACAAAGUAUUUAUCUACAUGAACGUAGAAAGUGUAGAAUCUCGGUAAUACAUCCUGGAGUUUGAGUUAAUACGAUAUUUUGUUCAUGCUUAAGGAGAUAAGUUAGUAAAUAGGUAAUACCACCUCUAUAUUGGUUUGAUUGACAACUUGGGAUACUUAAAGUGUUGUCUGUAUAUAUUUCUUGUUUUCUCCUAAGUUAAAAACUACUUAAACUAGUUAAGUAAUGUGUUUAUUUUGUUUUGGUUAAGAAUGUUUCCAAUUUAGGAUGGUGAAUUGUUACUGUUAUGACUGGUUUAAGUUGUUGGAGUUGUUCUUAUACUUGUAAUUGUUGCAAAACUUUAACUGUUGUUUUCAACUUGAUAGCAAGACCAAAAAGGUUCCUUUUUUUUUUUUUUUGUUCCUUUCGUCUAUCCGAUUCACAUAUGCUCGAGAUACCAAUCUAUUAUGGUGAAUUCUUAUUGUUAGGAUUAGUUUAAGGCAUACUUCUCGUAAUUAAAUACCCCCUAAUUUAUCCAAAAAAUACAAACUGAUUACCGGUAUUCAAAUGAAGUAGGUCUGAAUAGAUUUAUAAAAUUCACACAUAUGUCUCGUAUUCAUCUUUGAUCAUGUAUGCUCUAGAGAUAAUUCUUGCUGUUAUGAUUGGUUUAUGAUGCAAUAGUAGUUGUGAUUCCUUCCAGAUUAUAUGACGUUCAGUUAAGUUUUUGUUGUUACUAAUCAUCGAGAUUUGUACCUAAUCCUUUUCUUUUCUUUCUUUUUACAUGAACACCAUGGGAGUUUGUUGGAGUUGUGGCUCAACUCUAAUUCUGCCCAGGUCAUAGGAGCAGUCAGCAGCAGAUUUAUUUGCUCGUGUCUAGCCGUCCCCUACUUUCGCGUCAAAAGAAUCCAUGUCCCUCUUCCUCUCUUAAAAUUUUAUAUCUUUUGUAUUACUAUAUGUUAUUCGCACCCUUUGACUAACAUCUUUUAUGGGUUUGUAUUUGUAGUAUUUUGUUUCUUGCUUGUUUGUGAACUCGUGAAUGGCCGAGCCUUGUCAUUGGCCACUUUUCCUUAGAUAUAAAUCUUGGUUUAAGGAUA